Molecule: ribosomal RNA, 331 nt
Filed under: uncultured Ruminococcus sp.
Lineage: Bacteria; Bacillati; Bacillota; Clostridia; Eubacteriales; Oscillospiraceae
Description: partial 16S ribosomal RNA
Source: RNAcentral
GGAGUCUGGACCGUAUCUCAGUUCCAAUGUGGCCGUUCAACCUCUCAGUCCGGCUACUGAUCGUCGACUUGGUAGGCCGUUACCCUGCCAACUAUCUAAUCAGACGCGAGCCCAUCUUGAAGCGUCGGAGCUUUGGUAUGUCGACCAUGCGAUCAUCAUACGUUAUGCGGUAUUAGCACAAGUUUCCCUGUGUUAUCCCCCUCUUCAAGGCAGGUUGCUCACGCGUUACUCACCCGUCCGCCACUAAGUCAAAUCAGUCUUCAUCCCGAAGGAUUCCGUCCAAAGUGCUUCGUUCGACUUGAAUGUGUUAUGCACGCCGCCAGCGUUCAUC